GAUGAACGCUGGCGGCGUGCCUAACACAUGCAAGUUGAACGAAGCACUUACGACGGAAUCCUCCGGGAGGAAGAUGUAAGCGACUUAGUGGCGGACGGGUGAGUAACGCGUGGGUAACCUGCCCUGUACAGGGGGACAACAGCCGGAAACAGCUGCUAAUACCCCAUAAGCGCACGGUAUCGCAUGAUACAGUGUGAAAAGCCGAGACGGUACAGGAUGGACCCGCGUCUGAUUAGAUAGUUGGUGGGGUAACGGCCUACCAAGUCAGCAAUCAGUAGCCGGCCUGAGAGGGUGAACGGCCACAUUGGAACUGAGACACGGUCCAAACUCCUACGGGAGGCAGCAGUGGGGAAUAUUGCACAAUGGGGGAAACCCUGAUGCAGCGACGCCGCGUGAAGGAAGAAGUAUUUCGGUAUGUAAACUUCUAUCAGCAGGGAAGAAAAUGACGGUACCUGACUAAGA
RNAcentral lists this ribosomal RNA (462 nucleotides) under uncultured bacterium. RNAcentral's name for it is "bacterial SSU rRNA". It matches the Rfam family "Bacterial small subunit ribosomal RNA", at positions 28 to 488 of the family's 1533-position model. The record is from RNAcentral.